Molecule: ribosomal RNA, 470 nt
Filed under: uncultured bacterium
Lineage: Bacteria
Description: bacterial SSU rRNA
Rfam family: Bacterial small subunit ribosomal RNA
Source: RNAcentral
GACGAACGCUGGCGGCGUGCCUAACACAUGCAAGUCGAGCGGGGAGGAGGAAGCUUGCUUCCGAAUCCUAGCGGCGGACGGGUGAGUAACGCGUGAGCAACCUGCCUCUUACAGGGGGAUAACGCAUCGAAAGAUGUGCUAAUACCGCGUAAGACCACAGCAUCACAUGGUGCAGGGGUCAAAGGAGCAAUCCGGUAAGAGAUGGGCUCGCGUCCGAUUAGCUAGUUGGCGGGAUAACAGCCCACCAAGGCGACGAUCGGUAGCCGACCUGAGAGGGUGAUCGGCCACAUUGGAACUGAGAUACGGUCCAGACUCCUACGGGAGGCAGCAGUGGGGAGUAUUGGGGCAAUGGGCGAAAGCCUGACCCAGCAACGCCGCGUGAGGGAAGAAGGGUUUCGGCUCGUAAACCUCUGUCCUAUGGGACGAAGAAGUGACGGUACCAUAGGAGGAAGCCCCGGGCUAACUACGUG